RNAcentral lists this ribosomal RNA (312 nucleotides) under Triticum aestivum (bread wheat). RNAcentral describes it as "partial small subunit ribosomal RNA". The record is from RNAcentral. Lineage: Eukaryota; Viridiplantae; Streptophyta; Magnoliopsida; Poales; Poaceae.
AUGUUCUGUAGCUAUGAUUUGUCCAUCGAUGUUGAUCUAGUACAAUUGAUUGAAUACAUCUCCCGCCUCGCCUCCUCUGACACAUACGAUUCUCGGCAUCUCACUCAUGUUCUCAUGGUGCUGCGGGCCAAUAUAGGUGGAGUUGCGCAUGGGGUGAGCAGACCGGCCUUGCUCCUGAAUUUCUGUCCGUGUUUGGGCUGGCCGGCGAAGAUGGCAAAUUCCGGCGCUUUGGGUGCCUCAGCUUCGGUUCCUUUGCUGUUCUGGUGGCCGUGCGUUUCCUUGGCUUCGUCUGCAUGUGUUGAGCUUUCCUGA